GGCGCAUUAGUAAAUSAUAUUACGUGGCCUUGUCAAGACCAAAUCACAGGUGAAAUCCCUGUACRCCCCA
RNAcentral lists this transfer RNA (70 nucleotides) under Turdus abyssinicus (Northern olive thrush). RNAcentral's name for it is "tRNA-Asp". The record is from RNAcentral. Lineage: Eukaryota; Metazoa; Chordata; Aves; Passeriformes; Turdidae.